This 404-nucleotide unclassified non-coding RNA is filed under the name Hevea brasiliensis (rubber tree). The record is from RNAcentral. Lineage: Eukaryota; Viridiplantae; Streptophyta; Magnoliopsida; Malpighiales; Euphorbiaceae.
CCUCUCUCUCUCUCUCUCUCUGAGCGGUUACUUCUUUUCUCUUUGAUUAUAUUUCCUGACAGAUGUUGAUAUCUUGUUGGGCAUGACAGUUGCUUACCUCUUUUCCUUUUGAUGUUGGCUUCUUGACAUCAAGAGGAGCUUAGUUAUCAUGUUUGGUGGUUCAAUUCAAUUUCCAUAGGGCUUAAAAAUGCAUUUUGUUGUUCAGAGCUUUGUUUUUUUUUAUUCCCCAUUUUCUCAAACAUCAAUCACUUGCAUUUGUGGUGGCUUUUUUGUGUUUUUGUGUUUAUUAAAGAAAUCCAUUUUGGCUAGGGUACUGUUCACCUGGAUUUUAAUUGCUUUUUUUUGUUUUAUAUCACGAAUAUACCUCAUUGGUCUUACAGCAUUUUGAUUCUUAUGUGUCCAGG